Molecule: ribosomal RNA, 253 nt
Filed under: uncultured bacterium
Lineage: Bacteria
Description: partial 16S ribosomal RNA
Rfam family: Bacterial small subunit ribosomal RNA
Source: RNAcentral
UACGUAGGAUGCAAGCGUUAUCCGGAAUGAUUGGGCGUAAAGCGUCCGCAGGUGGCAGUUCAAGUCUGCUGUCAAAGACCGGGGCUUAACUUCGGAAAGGCAGUGGAAACCGAACAGCUAGAGUAUGGUAGGGGCAGAGGGAAUUCCUGGUGUAGCGGUGAAAUGCGCAGAUAUCAGGAGGAACACCGGUGGCGAAGGCGGGUCUCUGGGCCGUAACUGACGCUGAGGAGCGAAAGCAUGGGGAGCGAACAGG